GACGAACGCUGGCGGCGUGCUUAACACAUGCGAGUCGAACGGAAAGGCCCUGCUUUUGUGGGGUGCUCGAGUGGCGAACGGGUGAGUAACACGUGAGUAACCUGCCCUUGACUUUGGGAUAACUUCAGGAAACUGGGGCUAAUACCGGAUAGGAGCUCCUGCUGCAUGGUGGGGGUUGGAAAGUUUCGGCGGUUGGGGAUGGACUCGCGGCUUAUCAGCUUGUUGGUGGGGUAGUGGCUUACCAAGGCUUUGACGGGUAGCCGGCCUAAGAGGGUGACCGGCCACAUUGGGACUGAGAUACGGCCCAGACUCCUACGGGAGGCAGCAGUGGGGAAUAUUGCACAAUGGGCGGAAGCCUGAUGCAGCAACGCCGCGUGCGGGAUGACGGCCUUCGGGUUGUAAACCGCUUUCGCCUGUGACGAAGCGUGAGUGACGGUAAUGGGUAAAGAAGCACCGGCUAACUACGUG
RNAcentral lists this ribosomal RNA (468 nucleotides) under uncultured bacterium. RNAcentral describes it as "partial 16S ribosomal RNA". It matches the Rfam family "Bacterial small subunit ribosomal RNA", at positions 28 to 507 of the family's 1533-position model. The record is from RNAcentral.